This 20074-nucleotide long non-coding RNA is filed under the name Lynx pardinus (Iberian lynx). The record is from RNAcentral. Lineage: Eukaryota; Metazoa; Chordata; Mammalia; Carnivora; Felidae.
AUGGGACCUUUAGACGAUUAUUUAAACAUAUAUGAAGACAGAAAAAACACGAAACCCACAGGACAGCCAAUCUCCUAAAGCCGUGUGAGAAGUUUUACUUUCUUCUUUCUUCACUCAUAUUUAUAGUUAAGUUUUAUGCCCAAAUAGUGAACGGAGAAUGUCACAAAGAUGUUACUGAGCAGAAAUAGGGAGCGACGAGUAAGAAUUUAAGGAGCAUAUGUGGUUCAGAGAGAGAAUGUGGAGAGGAAAGAGCGGAGGUUGGAAGUCAGACCGACCUGUGUGCAGACCUUAGUAUUGCUGGGAUUUGCUAGGUAGCUUCAGACGAAUUAUCUUCUUUGAACUAGAACGUUUUGAUCUGUGAAAAGUGGUUAUUUAAUAUGCUUUUUGUAUCGCUCAUGUUUAGCCAUUGCAGUCUCUGUACAGUGUUAUAUCACCGUGCUUUUAAUUCUCAUGCGUAUGGUUUUUUACUUGUUUUCAUUAAUGGUUUCCAUUAUUAAAUAUCUUUCUCAGUUAUUUUAACAGUUAAACACAGUACUGAAUUUAAAUAGUUAACAGUGCUCCGCACGCAGGGGGAUCUCUAUUAAUAAUAGCUGCUAUUUUGCUCUAUACACAUCUUAUGAAUAACAAUGAGACAAUUUAUCCGUAAUAGGCAGCAAAACUUUUGCAGUUUUAGUUCAGUAACACUCAUUAAGGGUUUACUUUGUGCCACUUGCCAUGCCUGGGAUUAGAAACAUAAAAAGACACUUAUGGGCGCCUGGGUGGCUCAGUCUGUUAAGCGUCCAACGCUGGAUUUCGGCUCAGGUCGUGAUCUCAUGGUCGUGAGACUGAACCCCACGUCAGGCUCCACGCUGAGCAUGGAGCCUGCUUAAGAUUCUGUCUCCGUCUGUCCCUCUUUCUCGCUGGUGGACUCUCAAUCUCUCUCUUUAAAAAAAAAAAAAAAAAGACACUUAAGACAUAGUGCUUCUCCUUCAGGCAUCUAAGCCAAGGAGGUUAAAGUUACACAAGGAAAACUUUUUUUCACGGUACACUUUUAUUGCUUUUAAAGGUCCGAUCAGCCCUUGUAGAACUUAAAUCACAAAUUCUUCCCCACAUAUUGGUGUAACACAUAAAAUGGGCCUAACACUGCUUGGGUCAACAUAAAAAAUUUUCACAUCUUGAGCAUAUAUUAGAAAAGAGACGGUUUAAUGAUUAAAAUAGUAUAUUCUUUUGGUCUGCGGUUCAUAACGAUUCACUUUACAAACACUUGAAAACGUAAAAAUGCAGUCUACUGUGCGAGGCACAAAGAAUGCGGAGUUAAAUAAGGUGGAGUUUUGCAAUUAGCUGAGGUGACAGACAUAAAGAUAAUUGUUAUAUGAUAUGAAAUAUGCUAUAAAAGAUUUGUAAUAAAUGCAAGGAGAAAGCAGAGUGAAAAUAAUUAAUUUUGUGUAGGGCAUAUGGUCAUCAGGGAAAUCUUUGUAGGGGAAAUAAUAUUUGAAUAAUGAGUAGGAUUGAAAAGAGGCAAAGUUCAUUCUAGGCUGAGAGACUAGCACAAAGGCCCUGGGGGACUUCUAACAAUGCAAAGAGCAUUUCGUUUAUUCAUUCAACAAAUGUUUCAAAACAAAUAUUUAUCGACUUUUAUACAAAUGGCCCUGUGAAUUUACACUUUGAAGCACUCCUUAGUUCCAAAUACACAGCGAUGAUAGAUAAAAUUUUUAAAGUAAAAUUUAAAAAGAUACAGCUGUGCUAAAAACAAUAAAGUAAAGCAAGUGUCUCUGUGGAACAGAUACAACAUAGAAACGAUUGGUGGUCGGCAGAGGCACAGAUGAGGGAACAGGCCUGACUCUCUCUGGGCACAAAGCCUGGUAGUUGAUGCUUGUGGAGUAAAUUGCUCCCUGUGAGGUGGUAGAAAGAAGAACCAAGCUCACUAAUUGAAAUCAGGGCUGGGUGAGAAGCCACUCUCUUGUGAAAGGGGGGAAAAAAUCUGGGCUCAUAUGAAACUGUGGAAGACAGAAGAAAAAAAAACACAGGCUUGUGACCAGAAAAGGAAUUGAGCCCCAAGAUGACUUUGUGACAGCAACUGCUUUAUAGUAUCUAGUCUUCAAUGUAAGUUGUGGCCUUCGGGCAUCUUGGUGGCUUGGGCGGUUAAGUGCCUGACUCCUGGUUUCGGCUUGAGUCGUGAUCUCAUGGUUUGUGAGUCGGAGCCCCGUGUUGGGCUCCAGGCUGACAGCUCAGAGCCUGCUUAGGAUUCUCUUUCUCUCUCUGCCCCUCCCCUGCUCGUUCUCUCUGUCAAAAUAAAUAAAUAAAAACUCAAAAAAAUAAAAAAGAUGUGGCUUUGAUAUGAGGGAUUUGGGGGACAGAGUAAAAGCACCACAAAACUAGACAUAGAGGAAUAAACAGAGAAAGGAAUCCUGGAGACCAUUGAUGGCUCCUGAAACCCCAGGGAGAAGGAAAAAAAAAAAACCCUAUUAUUAAAAAAGUAGUCAAGAAAAUAAAAACCUUGUAUAUUAAUUCAGUACAUCAUAGUUAAUGUAGUAGGACAACCUGAUAAGUAGCUUAAAAUAAAUAUGCUUAGGAUGUUCAGGGAGAUGACUAAAGGAAUAACAUCCAUAAAGAACAAAGAAAUAAUUAAAUAAAACCCAGGAUAAAAGGAAACAAAAAAAAGAGCUGGAUAUGAAAAAGAGUUAGUUAAAAAUUCUGAAAAUGAAUACGAUAGGCAGUGAAAUUAAAAACUCUAACAGGUGGAAAACACUCUGAAGUUUUUUUUUUUUUUAAAUGUUUAUUUAUUUUUGAGAGAGAGAGAGAGACAGAGUGUGAGCAGAGGAAGGCGGAGAGAGAGGGAGACACAGAAUCUGAAGCAGGCUCCAGGCUCUGAGCUGUCAGCACACAGCCCGACGUGGGGCUCGAACUCACGAACUAUGAGAUCAUGACCUCAGCUAAAGUCAGAUGCUUAAAGACCAAGCUACCCAGAUGCCCCUGAAUACACUCUAGGUUAGACACAGGCAAGGAAGAAUUAGUAAAUUGGAAGAGAGUAAUAAAUAAUUCACCCAGAAAGCAGUGGUGUUAGAGAUGAGAAGUAUGUAUAUGAAAGAAUAUUUAAGAACCUGGAGGAUACAAGGACAGGCUCCUGUAUACAUCUAACAACAGUUGCAGAAAGAAAAGAAUACAUUGCAGCAAAUGCAAAGGAAGAAUAACUUCUCAGAAACAGUAUAUGUCAGAGAUGCACCAAUAUAAUCAGUUUAGGAAAAAUAACUACCAACAUAGAAUUUUAUACCUAAUUGAAUUAUCAUUUAAUAUUGAGGUCAAAAUGAAGACAUUUCAGGCAUACAAAGACUAAGAGAGAUUGCAAAAUCAGACACCAAAACAACCACUAAGCAGGAGGGAUAAUUUUGAGCCAAAAUUUGAGCAAAUGAGUAAAUUCAAUAACAUACUAAUUGGAAAAUACAAUGUAUGUGUGUACAAAAUAUGAAAUAGGGGUGGUUAAUGUGUAGCCAGAGUAGGUUAAGGGCUUUGUGAUCUGAGCAAAAAUAAUUUUGAAUAAUUUCAGACUUAAAAAAAAUUUAUUUUAUUUUUAAAAAAUGUUUAUGUAUUUUGAGAAAGAGAGAGAGAGAGAGAGCACAAGAGGGGUGAGGGGCAGAAAGAUAGAGAAUCUUUAUUUGAGAGAACGCAUGCUGAAUGUGGAAGCUUACAUGGGGCUCAAUCCCAUGAUGGCGAGAUCAUGACCUGAGCCGCUAUCAAGAGUUGGAUGCUUAGGGGCGCCUGGGUGGCUUAGUCGGUUAAGCUUCCGACUUCGACUCAGGUCACGAUCUUGUGGUCCGUGAGUUCGAGCCCCGCGUCGGGCUCUGGGCUGAUGGCUCAGAGCCUGGAACCUGCUUCCGAUUCUGUGUCUCCCUCUCUCUCUGCCCCUCCCCCGUUCAUGCUCUGUCUCUCUCUGUCUCAAAAAUAAAUAAACGUUAAAAAAAAAAUUAAAAAAAAAAGAGUUGGGUGCUUAACUGACUGAGCCACCCAGGCACCCCAAUUUUAGACUUACAAGAAAAAAAUUCCAUUGCUGCUCAGAGUGAGUAGGCCCUUUUUCAGAAGUAGCCUAUAUUCAAUAACUGGUUGAUGUGGGAAUACAAAAGUCUGGUUUAUUUGCCCCAGAAUUGGACAACUCUGAAGUGUCAUCCAACUUCAUAACACUUCAUGGGAUCUGCUGAGGUCUCUGCUACAAAUGCAUCUCACUUCAACUUUCCUCCUGCCCCGUGCUGCUUUCCUUUCUACUUAUAGAACUUCUCAAAAACUCUUCGGCAUGCAAAUCUCUGUCUCUGAGUCUGUUCCCAGGGAGCCUGACAUAGGACCAUUGGGGAUGGGGAGUGGUCCCAGGAAGCAGACUCUACAAUGGGAAAUUAAAGCUGGAUUACUUCCUGACCAGCUGACAGUGAGAACUCCAUCACUGCCAGUUCUUGGAGUCCUGAUAUCUCCAGGUUGAUGUAGCAGUGAAAGAAUUAAAUUUCUUUCCGGUGAUGACCCUGGAUUUGAUACUAGUAGAAAAGAACACACUGGCAAGAAUAAUAUCUCAGGAAUUAAGAGAUUUAAGGGAAGUAGUAAGUAACUAUCUGGACCAUGGAACUAGAUGGCUUUUGCCAUCAGCGAGAAGAAAGCACAGUGCUUGGUAGGCCUUCUUGCAUUCUGGAGGAAGCGUAUUUCACACUUGAGAAAAUUGCUGUGAUUUAUUUACCAAGUCUGGCCCAGGAAAGAAAAUGUUCUGCAGCAGGUCUAGGCUGUGGGGCAAGCGGUCUGGCCACAUGGACCACUUAACCUUCAUAUAACCUUGCAAGUCCAAUGGUAUUAAAGCUGUCUGUGGUACAAAAAGUCUCUCAAAUUUAAGGCAAGCCCCAAUAGGAAAAUCACAACCAAGAUUCCUAAGUUUUCAGAGGGAGGCCAUGACCUCUGCCGAAGUGAAACUAUACUCCACUUUAAAAAUAGCCCCUGGAGUGUUCCUGAGUCCUGAUGAGAAGAAGCAUCUGAUCAUGGAAACUCAAAUAACCAAGUGAUCAGAGCUGACUCUUAUGAGCUGUGUUCUGUCAGAGCCAUCAUGAUAUAAUGUCAGGAAGGCUCGGUGCAAUCCAUUAAUAAUGUGGAAGGGGGAUCAGACAAGAUUGGGGCCAGAACUACAGGAAGCCUUCGACAGCACGUGGCCCAGGACUCCAUAUCAUCCGCUAUGUAUGGCUACACAGGGGGGGAAGGAGAAGAAAGGUGAGGAAGAAGGAGAAAGGUCAAGCAUAAGUUAGGGAUGAAUUGACUUUCUUUGUGGGUUAAAGUUAAAAGUGGACUAUUCAGGAGUGGCCCUAAAAGAGAGUUGUGUGAGGAGAUCCUCCCAAUGGGAAGAGCUUUGAGUGGAACAUCUGUUUCGUGUGGAAAGUGAAGUAACGCAACAAAGAGUAUACAUGGACUUAUGAACAGUGAUGAAUGGUUUGGCUAGUUGCCCAGGAACCUGGGAGGACAGAGACUGGAGGGUUGAGGAGAAGGAAUUCGGGAGAAGAGGCAUGUGCCUGGACUUAGGGAAACUGGCAUGAGUAUCUUUACAUGACAAUUAGUAUGGAACAGAGAAUAUCCAACAUGAAAGAGGAACCAGCCAAGCAGCCAGAAUGACUCAGCGAUUUUGUUUUGGCCAGAAGCUGUCGUCAUUAGCUAAUCCACUGAUGCAACAGUGGGCUUCUGAAUGGAACAGCCAUGCAAAUGGACUCCCACCCGCCAAACUUGAUCCCACUACUGCUAUGGCCAAGGUGUAAUCUGCCACCACAGCGACCAAAGCUGAGCCCGUUUUUGCGCUAUGUCUUAAAGAGACCAACUUGCUUUUUGAUUACAUGGGUCCCUAUCUUGCCUAGGAGGGGCAGCAUUUCAUUUUGGCUAGAAUUGACGUAUCUUCUGGGUAGAGUUUAUCCUUCCUGUCCUUAGAUUCUCAGAUGAUAUAGAUUGUCUAAUUCGGUGAAACAGUGUCACACAAAUCACCUCACAACAAUGCAUCCAUUUUGUAGCAAGUGUGGGUGUAGCACAAGGGAUCCCUGGGAUCCAUGAUCCUAUCGCAUUCUGCCCCUCCCAAAAGCUGGUAAAGCAAUGAACAGUAUCGCCAAAUAUUUUUCCUUGUAUGGAUAUGUAUUAUAACUUGUGAUAUCUCUGUUUUAUUGCCAUUUGUAGCAACUCUUCUAUGAACAUUCGUGUACAGGUCUUUAUGUAGACAUUUGUUUUUGUUUCUCAAGGGUAAAGGCCUAGAAGUGUAAUCGCUGGGUUUUAGGGUAGGUAAAUAUUUAACUUUAUAUGGAACUACCAAAUUGUUUUCCGAAGCAACUGUACUAUUUUACAUUCCUAAGAACAAUGUACAAAAGUUCCAGUUACUUCAUACUUUUCUAGGAUUUGGUCUGGUCUGUUUUUGUUUUUGUUUUUAAUUGUCAUUCUAGUAGAGAUACAGUGCCUUUUCAUUGUGUUUUUAAUUUGUACUUCUGUAAUGAAUGAUGGUGUUGAGCAUCAUUUUAUGUGCAUAUUUGCUAUCCACACUUCUUCUUAAAUGAACUGUCUGUUCAAAUCUUUUGACUAUUAAAGACGUUUUUUGGUCUACUUAUCAGUGAAUUGUAGGAGUUCUUUAUAUAUUCUAGAUUUAAGUCGUUGAUCAGAUAUUUAUUUUUCAAAUAUUUUCUCAGUUUGUGUCUUCUAUUUUUCUUUUCUUUUUAAAAAAUUAUUUAUUUUUUUGAGAGACAGAGAGAGAGAGAGAGAGCAUGAGCAAGAGAGGGGCAGAGAGAGAGGGAGAAAGAGAAUCCCAAGUAGGCUUUACACUGUCAGCAUAGAGCUCAAGGUGGGGCUUGAUCCCAUGAACUGUGAGAUCAUGACCUGAGCCCAAAUCAAGAGUCUAAUGUUAGCUGACUGAGCCAACCAGGCACCCCAAUCUUCUAAUUUUCUUAGCAGUGUAUUUUGAAAAGUAGUUUUAAAUUUUGAGGAAUUCUAAUUUAUCCAUUUUUUUUUGUGAUUUGCAUUUUUUGUGCAAACUAAGAAAUUAUUGCCUAACCUAACAUACAUUUUUCUCCUGUGUUUUCUUCCAGAAGUUUUAUGGUUUUAGGUUAUACAUUUAGGUCUAUAAUCCUUUUUAAGCUAAAUAUUUUGUAUGGUAUUAAGUAAGGGUUUAAGUUCACUUUUUUUGGCAUAUAGAUGUUCUAUUACCAUUUGUUAAAAACAAUGUUAUUUCUCCAUAAAGAGAUUAACUUAUGUAUAUAGAUAAUUUUAUGUAUCUUAUUAUACAUCUUAUGUAUAUAGAUGACCUAAAACAAUUAAAAAAAUAAAAAAUAAACUGUGUUAUUUUAGUACAGUUUUAGAUUUACAGAAUAAUUGAACAGAUUGUACAUAGAUUUCCAUAUACCUACCUACUCCUACCCGUUGUGUACAUGCAGAGUUUGGUUUAUUAUUAACAUUUUGCUUUAAUGUGGUAUAUUUCUUAUAAUGAAUGAACCAAUAUUGAUUUUUUUUUUAUCUUGAGAGAGUAUGCAUGAGCAGGGGAGAGGCAGAGAGAGAGGGAGAGAGCAUCUUAAGCAGGUUCCAUACCCAGCACAGAGCCUGACAUAAGUCUUGAUGGCACAACCAUGAGAUCAUGACCUGAGCCAAAAUCAGGAGUCAGACUGAGCCACCCAGGCACCCAAUGUAUUAUUAUUAAGUAUAGUUGAUAGUUAUGUUAAGAUCCUCUCUUUGUGUUGUACAGUUCUCUGGGAUUUGAAUUAAUAAAUAACUUUAAGUAAUUAUUAAUUAUUUAAAAACAAUUUGCAUAAUGACAUAUAUUCAUCACUAUAGUUUCAUUUAUGUCAUCUGUAUAUCUUCUUUGGUGAAGUGUCUAUUCUGAUCACUUACCCAUCUUUUAAACUGGGUGGGUUUGUUUUCUAAUUAUUGUUCAGUUUAGAAAGUUCUCUGUAUAUUCUGAAUACAAGUCCUUUUCUGGAUAUAAUGUUUUACAAAUAUUUUCUCUAAUAUCUUCACCAUUUCUUAGCUGAAGUUUUUAACUAAGUUCUUAAAGCUCUUAAACUAAGUUUUUCUGUCAAAAAUUUAAAGUAACUACUAAAAGAAAUGAAAUCAAUAGCUUCCAAAUCAUAUAGAAACUAAACAGCAUUAGAAAGUAUUAAUGAUCCAUAGUGGAAGAAUGUUAGAGAAAAAAUGCAAAUAUAAAAUAUUAAUUGGAAAGCAAAAAAUGGAAAAAAUAGAAAUACAGCCAAGUAUGUCAAUCACAAGAAUAAACAUAUUCAACUCUCUUAUUAAAAGAGUCUAGUCUAGUAUCAAAAUCUAGUCUCAAACUAGACUAAAAAUGUGUUACUGAGAACAUAUAGAAGAAUUAAUAAUCAAGAAAUGGAACAAAUAGUUGAGUAUGUACUCUGAAAAUCAUAACCAAAAUAAAGUUAUUCUAGAAAUAUUAAUAUCAGACCAAAGAGAAUAUAGCAUGCAUUCCUGAAAUGCAAAAAUGAUUUCCCACCAGAAACAAGUGCAUUCACACAACACAUCAUAUUUCCAGAUUAAAGAGGAAAAAAAUGUAAAUAUAUGAAUGGACACAUAAGCAUUUGACAAAAUUCAACAUUUAAGUAUAGUCAAAUAAUGUUACUAGGCUGUAGUUAAAAUCAAUUAACUAGAGAGAAAAGCAUUCCAACAUGGAUAUAUUUUGAAAAUGUGAUGUUGAACAAAAAUGUUAUAAAAUAACAUCUAUUAUCUGAUACCAUUUAUAUAAGGUGUAAUUACUUAUUAAAUCAGUAUCAUCCUGUAUACGGAUAUAUGAUCUAUUAUAUUAAAAAAGUAUAAAAAUAUCUUCAGGAAAAAUAAACAUUAUAUUCAUAAUAGCUUUUACCUCUGGAAGGGGGAAAGUAUUCAGAAGGUUUGAGCUUUAUUUGUGAUAUAUGCAAUCAAAAGCAGAAGGAAAACAACAAGUAGUAUUUAUUGAAUUCCCAAUUUUGAAGACAUUUUCUAGGCACUGAAGAUACUGGGAUGAGUGGGUCAUGACCUCUGUUUUCAAAAUACUCUCAUUUCAGGAGAGGGACAUAGUUGCACCUAAAAUGGAGACUCUAAGGAAGGCCCUCGUUGAUUUUCAUCUGAAUUACCCCAACAAUAAUUCUGUUAAAAGCUCCACAUACGUCCGCUUGAGAGAUCUGGAUAGCAUAUAGGGACAUUCCUAAUACAACUGCACAUAAAGCAUCCACUUGUUGUUCGUGUUAGGAAAAAAAUAUAAAUCUUAAGUCUACUUCCUAGUAAAAGAUAGUACAUUGUGUAUAGUGCUUUAUGAGACCAUCAGUCCAGCGAUAACAGACCAGAUCAUUCCUUCCCUGUCCCCUCUUCGAAUCCAGGCAAACGCCCUGGUAUUCAGUACAAAAAGUUUCCCUAGUGAAGUUAGCCUAUAACUGGCUUGUAACUGUAAGAGAAUUAAGUUGAGAACCAGAGAAGAAGGCAGGACGGAUAGGAGCUGGGAACAGAAUCCAGGAGGCAGAAAUGGAGACAGGAUCAAUGAUACUCAGCACUGGGAGAGAUUCCCAUUCACAGGACUGUAAGGUAAAAAAAGAGAAAAAGAAAAAGAAAAAGAAAAAAAGAGAAAAAAAAUCAUUGUAAACCUUCUCUUCAUGCCACAUAUAAAGAAAAUCUUCCUCUUUAUCUAGUGAAACAUCGAUUCUUUCUCAUAGUUAAUUGCUCUAAAUUAAAUAAAAUGUUUCUCAGAAACAAGAUGAAAUACAUUUAGAUAUUUUCCUAUACAUUUGGAAUGCUCUAAAAAGCCAUUUACAGCCCUUAAAAUGAUUGGCUCCAUUUCUACUUCCUGUUCUGUAAAUGAACCAGAAUCAAUAAAAUAUUUUAUGGUUCUGAAUAUAUUUAGUAAAAUGGUUCCUCCCAAACAACACACACUUAUGCCUAAUAUUCAAAUUUAUUUUAUGUUCAACCUACUUAAAAUGAAAUGUAAGCUGCAAUGAAGACCCAGGUAGUGAUAUAAAUACAAAGAGUAGAUGGGCCAUCUCUAAUAUAUUUCAGAACAGGUUUUCUACAUUCAACAUACAUGAACAAAGAAGUUAUGCGUAACUUCCUUUUGCAAGAUAAUUAAGAAUUAAAGUACAAGUGAAAGUAUGUUUUAGUCAAUUACCUCCGGAAUUUUCAAAAAAAGGUAUAUGUUUGUUUAUAAUGAUAAACAGAAAAAUUCUGAAGCCAAAUAUUUUACUUUUGGUAGUCCAAAGUUAUGCUUUUUAAUCUUAGAAGAUGAUUAUGCCUUUUAAUCAUGGAAGAAAUUUCAAGAAAGCUGGUGGUGGGGGGGUAAUAUAGAUGAAAAAAUAGCAAAUGGCUUGCGAUCCAUGGUAAAAAAAAGUCUUUCAACAAGCAUACAAUAUUUGAAGAAGUCUAAGUGAAAUUUUUGUGUGUUUUUCUUUUUAAUGUAGAGUAACAUAGGUAUAGAGGGCAGUGUAAUUAGUUACCUUUUAAAUAAAAUUUAUCAGAUAAAUAUUUCUUAUGUAUUUGGUGGGUCUUAAAAAUCCAUGUAUGGACUCAAAUGAAAGGUUACAGAAUUUGGGAUUGUUUGGCCUGGAUAUUAGAAGGAUAACGGAUUAUUAUCAGAAGAACAUUCUCUAUCUCCACAGAGGACAAAGCAAGAGGAAAUGAGCUUAAACUGUUUUAAAAGAAGGUGAGUCAACAUGGCUAUACCUUCAAGAUCAUUCUGACUGAGUUCACCAGUUAACAGAGUUCCACCUAAAUGACUGAUUGGAUCAAUUCAGCAAACAAUCCAUCAGCUAGUUAUCUUGGCAAAGAAUGCAAAUGCAAAGCCUUUGAUUAGAAGGAAGUACUCCUUUAAUUAAACAUUAGGACAUAAAUUCAAGUAAGAUUAUAGACACUAUCCCUAAAGGUCUUUCAAAUUAAAGUAGACAGCUCUAUAGAUUGAAUGGUUUAAUCAGUCAAUGAAUAUUUAUUUAGUACCUACUUCAUUCUUAACAUUGAACUAUUGAAAACAAGGGACUAGAUAAGAGAAUCAAUUGGAAUAACGGACAGUCUGUUACAGAAUGAGUUUUGUCCCCCCAAAAGAUAUGUCAAAGUUUUCAUCCCCAUUACCUGUGAAUGUGACCUUCUUUGGAAAGAGGGUCUUUGCAGCUGUAAUUAGACUAAGAUGACAUCUUAAGGCUAGGCCCCAAUCCAAUAUAACUGGUGUCUUUAUAAGAAGAGAAGACAGAGACAAAGAAGGAAGGUGGCCAUAUAAAGACAAGAAGGAGAAGGCCAUAUAAAUAUGAAGACAGAACUGGAGGCAUGCACGUAUAAGACAGAAUGCCAAAGAUGAUUGGCAUCUCCCAGGAGCUAGGAAAUAGGCAAGGAAAAGAUUCUUUCUCAGAAAAAACCAAUCUGGCUGACACUUGGAGUUUGAACUUCUAGCCUUCCAGAACUGUGGGAUAAUAAAUUGCUGUUGUUUUAAGCCACCCGGUUUGUGGUACUUUGCUAUGGCGGCUCUAGGAAAUGAAUACACAGGGGUUUUUUUUUGCUUUUUGUUUUUUGUUUUUAAGUUUCGUCAUUUGUCUGUAAAUGUGGCUAGUAAUUUUUGGGAUUUUUUUGUUUUUACAGCUUAUUUAUUUAUUUUUAGAGAGGGAGAGAGAACGCAAGUGGGGAAGGGGCAGAGAGAGAGAGAGAGAGAGAGAGAGGGAGACAGACAUGUGGGGCUCAAACUCAUGAACCAUGAGUAUUGACCUGAGUCGAAGUCAGACACACUUAACCAACUGAACCACCCAGGCAUCCCAGUGAAUACACAGUUUUAAAUUAUUUUUUCUGUUACAUUAAAAUACAGUAUAAUCUUUUAUUUUAUUUUAAAAAAUGUUUAAUGUUUAUUGAUUUUUGAGAGAGAGAGAGAGAGAGAGAGAGGGAGAGAAUGAGCAGGGGAAUGGCAGAGAGAGAGGGAGACACAGAAUCUGAAGCAGCCUCUGGGCUCUGAGCUGUCAGCACAACUCAUGAGCCAUGAGAUCAUGACCUGAGCCAAAGUCAGAUGCUUAACCGACUGAGCCACCCAGGCACCCCAAGUAUAAUCUUUUAUAAGUCAUUGACUUAUUCUUUUUUUGAACUGAUUUUUAAAAACCAGCUUUAUUGGCAUAUAGUUCACAUAUGAUACCAUUUACCCAUUUAAUAAUAUUAAUAAUAAAUAUUGUUUAAUAAAUAUUGGUCUGGAAACUAAAACUACUGGAAGAAAACAUAGGUGAAAAUCUUUUUGAUAUCAUUCUGGCAAUGGUUUUUUUGAAUAUGGCAACAAAACACCAACCACAAAAGCAAAAAUAAAUAAGGUUGCAUCAAACUAAAAAGCUUUUGCACAAGAAAGGAAACAAUCGACAGAGUAAAGAGACAAUGCAUGGAAUGGGAGAAAAUAUUUGCAAACCAUACAUCUGAUAAGGAGUUCAUAUACAAAUAUAUAAGGAGCUGAAACAAUGCAGUAGCAAGGAAAUAAAUAACCCAUGAAAAAAAUGGGCGAAGGACCUGAAUAGACAGUUUUCAAAAGAAUAUAUACUAAUGGCCAAGAGGUAUAUAAAAAGGCAUUCAAUAUCACUGAUCACAAGGAAAGGCAAAUCCAAAUCACAAUGAGUGAUCACCCCAUGCCUCUUCAAAUGGCUUUUUCAAAAAUAUAAACAACAACAACAACAACAAAACAAAAAACCAAGUGUUGGUGACAAUGUGGGGGAGAAAAAGAAUCCUUGUGCACUGUUAGUAGGAAUUGGUACUUUCAUUUUGGAAAACAGUAUGGAGGUUCCUCAGAAGAUUAAAAAUAUAGCUAUCGCAUGAUCUGGCAACCCAACCUCCCAGUAUAUUCUAAAGGGAAUGAAAUUGGUAUCUGGAAGAGAUAUGUUCACUGCAGCAUUAUUCCUAAUAGACGUGAAAUGUAGUCUACCUAAGCAUUGACAUAUGAAUGGAUCAAGAAAAUGUGGUAUGUAUAGAGAUGGAAUAUUAUUCAGCCUUAAAAAACAAAGAAAGCUUGCCAUUUAUGACAACAAGGAUGAGACCAGAGAGCAUUAUGCUAAAGGGAAAUAAGCUGGACACAGAAAUACAAAUACUGCAUGAUCUCACUUACUUGUGGAAUCUGAAAAAGUCGAAUUCAUCCAAACAGAGAACAGAAUGGUGGUAAUCAGGGAUGGGGGGNAGAGGAGGGGGGGGGGGGGGGGGGGGGGGGGGGGGGGUGGGGAGAAAUGGAGAAAAGUUCAUCAGAGAAUAUAAAGUUUCAGGUUUGCAAAAUGAAUACAUUCUGGAGAUCUAACAUACAGUGUGAUGGCUGUACUUAAUUAUACUGUUUUGUUUACUUAAAAUUUGCUAAGAGAGUAGAUUUUAACUUUUCUCUCACACUCACAGAAAGCUCUGUGAUGUGAUGAACAUGUUAAUUAUUUCGAUUGUGGUAAUCAUUUUAUAAUGUAUAUGUAUUUUAUUUUAUUUUUUUAAUUUUUUUUAACGUUUAUUUAUUUUUGAGACAGAGAGAGACAGAGCAUGAACAGGGGAGGGUCAGAGAGAGAGGGAGACACAGAAUCGGAAACAGGCUCCAGGCUCUGAGCUGUCAGCACAGAGCCCGACUCGGGGCUCGAACUCACAUACCGCAAGAUCGUGACCUCAGCCGAAAUCGGACGCUUAACGACUGAGCCACCCAGGUGCCCCUGUAUAUGUAUUUUAAAACAUCACACUGUACACCUUAAAAAAAGUAUACAGCUAAGUAGAUUUUAGUAUAUUGACAAAAUUGUGCAACUAUCACCACAAUCUAAGUUUAAACAUUUUAAAAAUCAUUUUUUAAGUUUAUUUAUUUAUUUUCAGAGAGAGAGAGAGAGAGGAGAGAGAGAGAGAGAGACCGAGCAUGGGGGAGGGACAGAGAGGAAGAAUUCCAAGCAGGCUCUGCACUGUGCAGAGUUGCUUAACCCACUGAGCCACCCGGCCGGUCCCUAAAUUUAGAAUAUUUUUAAUAUCCCUGUGCUUCCUCAUUCCUCUCCUCCAGUCACUGGAAACAAGUCUACUUUCUGUCUCUAUGGCUUUUACCUAUUCUGGAAAUUUCACGUAAAUGGAAUCAUAUUUGGUUUUUCGUUACUGGCUUCUUUCAAUUAGCCAAACGUGUUCCAGACUUACCCGUAUUGUCACAUGUAUCAGCACUUUAGUUUUUAUUUCCAAACGACAUUCUCCUGUAUGGAAACACAACUUUUGUUUCCUCAUUCAUCAAUUAAUGAACACUGAAUUUGUUUCCCCCUUUUGGCUGUUGUGAAUAAUGCCGGUACGAACAUUUGUGCGAGCGUUUGCGGGGACGUGGGUUUCAUUUCUCUUGGGUAUAGGCCUAGAAGUAGAUUGCCAGGUCCUGUGGUAACUCUUUGUUGAGCCUUUUGAAGAAGUGCCAAACUGUUUUUCUAAAGUGGCAUUUCAUAUUUUCACCAGCAAAUACGAGAAUUCUAAAUAUGUCCUGAGUAUUAUCUAAAUAUGUCCUGCACAUUCCUUAUAGCAACCCACGAGGUGGGUACUGUUUAUUGCCACCUCGUAGGGCAGAGUACACGGAGGUAUAGACCGGUUGAGUAAAUCGUCCAGCCUCACAAUUUCCUCAGACCCCUUCUGAAUGAGUAGGUUUCUGAAACUCCCUCUCUACGUCCCCCCACCCGUUCUCCAGGACAAAACAGCAUCUUCUUCUCAAUACAUACUUUUGAAGGCAUCUCGGCUGUUCGUUCUCUGAACACUAUGUCGUAAAGAGGAUUCUGGGUGAGAGGGUACCACUGUCCACGGCAGUGUUCGAGGCAGGAAGAUGGGGAAGUGUUCCAGGGCAGACAUGGAAAUAUGAGAUCCCAAAUUGCUUUUAUUUUUUCUUCUUGACUUUGUUUCAUUUGGACAUUUUCUAAGACUCAGAAGAUAAUGUAUUUCUUGAAGACAUUAAGGGUGACUUCUCACUGGAUCUAGGAGGAAACCAUGCCCCCAGACCAGCAUGAGCAAGAUCCAUGAUACUUACCUGACCAAACUAUGAAUUAAGUAGUAUUCCUUAGGGGUUUGUGUGGGUUGGAAUAGCAAGGAAAGCAAUUCAUUUCUAACAUUAUGAAAAGAAAGAGUAAACAGAUACCGUGUCUAUCGUCAAAGGCUAGUGAAAAUGGAAGCAACGGUGAUUUCCAUCCUGAUGUGAAUGACCAUGUAGCUUGAAGUAAGGUGAAGUCUCUUAGGAUUCCUUUAGCAGUACGCGUUUAUAGUUUUUCUAAGAAUGCUGUAGCAAAUUACCGCUAACUCCAGUAGCUUAGAGUAACAGAAAUUUAUUCUCUCACAAGAGACUAGAAGUCCAGAAAUAAGGUGUCACCAGGAUAUGUUGUCUCUCUUCUCACUUCUGAUGGUUGUGGGUCAUCCCAGCCAUGCCUUAGCUUGCAGCAGCAUGACUUUACUCUCUGCCUCCAUCAUGACAAGGAACCUUCUUCCUUAUGUGUAUCUGUGUCUUCACGUGAUGUUUCUUCUCCUGCACGACUCUUUCUGUAUCUCUUUUUUCUCUUCUCUCUCUCUCUCUCUUUUUGAGAGAGAGAGAGGGAGCAAACACGGGAAGGGCAGAGGAAGAAGGAGAGGGAGUCUUAAGCAGGCUGCACGUCUAGCACGGAGCUCAACGCUAACUACCGUGAGAUCAUGACCUGAGCCAAAAUCAAGAGUUUCUGACUUAGCCACCCAGGCACCCCUGUGUCUCUUCUUUUCUAAUAUGGACACCAGUCAGAUUGGAAUAAGGGUCCAUCCUACUCCAGAGUGACCUCAUCUGAAUAUGUAUCUUAAUUACAUCUGCAAGGAUUUGGACCUAUUUCCAAAUAAGGUCACACUCACAGGUACCAGGAGUUGGAUUUUCAACCUUUUAGGGAGGACACAAUUCAACCCACAACACAGUAGAUUAGUGUCAAUAAUAUGACUCCACUGGGACUAGUACUCCAGUAGUAUAUUCCACUAGUAUUUGUUUCUGAUGAUCUUUUGGACUUAGGUAUUUGUAGUAUGAUUAAAAGGCACUGCUAAGGUAUUAUGGCAAAUAUUGAUCAUUAUACAUUCCAAUCGCUAUAAAUUCCUAUCUCCUUUGAAUUUUUUUAAUGUUUAUUUCUGAGAGAGAGAGACAGAGCGUGAGCAGGGGAGGGCCAGAGAGAGAGGGAGACACAGAGUCGGAAGCAGGCUCCAGGCUCUGAGCUGUCAGCACAGAGCCCCACGCAGGGCUCGAACCCACGAACCGUGAGAUCAUGACCUGAGCCGAAGUCGGACGCUCAACCGACUGAGCCACCCACGCAACCCCCCCCCCCACUAUCUCCUUUGAACUAGAGGCAACCAAUUUUUAAAAUUCUGAUUCUGAUAAUUCUGCCUUCACUCAGUGUAUUUGUGGGAACUUCUAUUUCAAAAGUGACGUAAGGGAUAGUAAAUUAUUCCAAAUCAUGGCAUGUGUUUAUUCUUUGAAGAGGUAGUAUGCUGUGGUGAAGAAAGUAGCUAGACCUAGUUGGCUAAAAACUGGGUUUUAUUUUUUUUUUUAAUUUUUUUUUUCUUUCAACGUUUUUAUUUAUUUUUUGGGACAGAGAGAGAGACAGAGCAUGAAUGGGGGAGGGGCAGAGAGAGAGGGAGACACAGAAUCGGAAACAGGCUCCAGGCUCCGAGCCAUCAGCCCAGAACCUGACGCGGGGCUCGAACUCACGGACGGCGAGAUCGUGACCUGGCUGAAGUCGGACGCUUAACCGACUGCGCCACCCAGGCGCCCCAAAACUGGGUUUUAAACUUACUGGUGAAGUGACAUUGUUCAGCUAUAGCUAUUUGCUCCAAGCAGAGGAGAACUGGAAAAUCUUGUCUGCAGAGUCAUGCUCAGUAAGUCUCAACAAUAAAGUUUCACUGUUAAAAUGCAGAAAGCUGGUCUGUCUUCAUCUCCUGGUCCGUCCACUGACCGGCAGUGGCCAGGACACAUCACCAUUUGAAUCCGGUGACCCUGUAUGAAGAGAAGUGUUUGAUCUAAGAGUCCCUGAGAGGUAGUGCCUGACAGAAUUUCUCGGGUCUCCGGGUCCAAGAGGAAGUCUCCCUUCCUUGGUGUCUCUCAAUUCUCAUAGAUCCUUUUGCCACCACGGUGUGUUUUCGGUCAAUCAAAUCUCUUUACCUGUAUGCACAGCCAUUAUUUCCAAAGUUGCCAUGGCAGGGGUGCUCUGACACACACCGGGCCCAGGAACACCUAUCCUUCUGAUCUCUCUAUGCCUUCUGGAGAGUAGAGCAAGCAUUGCCUCCAUUGCCUUUUGCAGAUGGUUCGGGGAGUGUGUUGGAAUGUGGGGCUGGUGGCCAACCUCCCAGAUGUGAAUUGUCUCCGUCCCAUCCUGCAAGGAGGUCAGACAGUUUACUUACCCACCCCGUGCUUCAGUGUGCUCAGCUGUAGAAGGUGGUAAUAAUAGUACCUACCUCAUGCGUUGCCAUAAGGAAUGUGCAAGAUAAUACUCAGAACAUUUCCUGGCUCUGCUCCGCAAAUGCUUACAAAUACAGCAAUUUAUAGUAAUUGUUGUAAUAAUAAUCACUCCGGAGUAAUAAUAAUCACUCCGCUCUUCCCUAUUUUUCUUCUCUUACCCCCAGAUCUCCAUUCUUUGGUCCUUCUGUGUUUGACCCUCAACUUGAGAUUGGAGAACCACAGGAGUGGAUUCUGGGUACCCAAGUCCAGCCAGCAUUAUCGUUGCCUGUUUUACCACAGUUGGCUCCUAACCCACCUCAUUACCUAUCUUGACCUCCUGUGAUUCUUUUUCCACAAAGGAGAGUCAUUUUCUAAAACAUGAAGCACAUCAUACUAUAUCUCUGCUUAAAAUCCUCCAGUGGCUUCCCAACAUAUUUUGUUUGUUUUGUUUGUUUUUGGUUUCAGGAGUAGAGUUCAGUGAUUUGUCACUUGCAUAUGGCACCAAGUGCUCAUCACAAGUGCCCUCCUUAAUACCUAUCACCCAUCUAGCCUAUCUGCCACCCACUUCCCUCCAGCAACCUUCAGUUUGUUCUCUAUGGUUAAGAGUCUCUUGUGGUUUGUUUCCCUCUCUUCUCCCUGCCCCCUUCCCAUAUGUUCAUCUGUUUUGUUUCUUAAAUUCUACAUGUGAGUGAAAUCAUACGGUAUUUGUCUUUCUGAUUGACUUAUUUCACUCAGCAUAAUACAUUCUAGCGCCACCCACGUCAUUGCAAAUGGCAAGAUUUCAUUUUUUUUGAUGGCUGAGUAAUAUUUCACUAUCGAUAUCGAUAAUGAUAUAGAUAUAUACAACAUCUUCUUUAUCCAUUCAUCACCCGAUAGACACUGAACUGUUUCCGUAGUUUGGCUAUUGUAGAUAAUGCUGCUAUAAACAUUGGGGUGCAUGUACCCCACUGAAUCUUUAUUUUUGUAUUCUUUGGGUAAAUACCUAAAUGUGCAAUUGCUGGAUCAUAGCAAUUUAGUUUUUUUAGGAACCUCCAUAGUGUUUCCCACAGUGGUUGCCUCAGUUUGCAUUCCCACCGACAGUACAAGAGCGUUUCCCUUUCUCCCCAUCCUCCCCGACACCUGUUGUUUCUUGUGUUGUUAAUUUUAGCCAUUCUGACAGGUGUGAGGUGGUAUCUCAUCCAAUGCAUUUAAACUCUCAACUUCUCACCUUUGUUUACAGAUCCUUAUGCAUCUGGCCUCUUCAGUCAUUGGGACCUCAUGUCACCUGAGCGUUCCAAGCUCACUGUAUCUAAGUACACUUGUGACAGCUCUCCUGUCUGCCUAGAAGGCUCACCCUCAUGCCACUUCCUGUCACCUCAUCUUAAGAGGCCUUUCGUGGCCUACUAAUUCAAAAUUCACAUCCUGUCAAAUCAACCUACUGAAAUUCUCUUCAUUGCACAUAUCACCUUCAGUGCUUUCCUUCCGCUUAUUUAUUUGUACUGCUUACCUCUCCUCAUUUGAAUGUAAGCUCAGUUAGAAUAGUAGCUUUCCUUGUCCUGUUUAGUGUUCUAUUUCCUUCACCCAGAACAGUUCCUGGAACAUAGUAGUUACUCAGUAAAGCUGGUUGUUAGAUUAAUACUAAUACUAACAUUACUUUCUGUCUCAGUAGAUGCACAUUCUUUCCAAAAGAAACUCCAUCUUUUUAUGGGAAUGGUGACAUCUACUUACCACACACCUUAUUAUUUAGAUUAGAUACAAAAAACAGUCUUGCCCUUAGUAUAAGGACAGGUUUUUUUGUUAAUGAAUAGCCCCUACAGGUGGAGAACAAUCAUGGUAAAUGGGCAAGGGUGAUGAGGCAUGUAAGGUCACAUACCCAAAUGUCCCAUACUGAAGAAAUUUUCCUAAAGCACCAUUACAUCAUCUUUUUAAGCAAUGAAUAUUUCGUAUUCUAUUCCAUACUACCUAAUUUUUGUUUUAAUUUAUAAUUUCUCUAAAAAAAUUCAGGUAAAAAAACAUUCUGGGAUGAUAAACUAAAUUGUUAGUAGCACAAAGUAAUUAUUCAAUUAAUAUUAAUUAAUUUUCUUUUAUUAUCUUCCAUUCCAGAGACCAUGCCUUUGAGAAACAGUGAAACAUCAGUCAACGUGGUACAUUUGUACAUGGAUAGAGAAAGUCUGGAAUAAAUUAGUAGCAUCAAUAACUUCUGGCAAAGGGAUGAGAUAAGCACAUGAAGAGAUACUUCAAAUUUUUGUUCUACUUACUUCUGUGUAGUUUGGAUUUUUAAAAAAACUUAAAAAAAAUCUCCAUGCAGUCCUUAUGUUAUUAAAAACAAACUAACGGAAGCAAGGAAAUAAAAGGAUGAAAAUUCCACACUUUUUCAUUAAAGUAAACAUGAGGAAAUUUGGAGAAAUUUUAGAGUGAUACAAGACAAUAGUUUAAAAAAUGACUAUGUUUUGAAUUGGCACCGACAUCAGUUUUUUGUUUCUAAAGUGCAGCUCUGAGGAUUAAAAAAAUAAACAACUUGCUGUUCAUAGCAGCCGCAGUUUAUUUGGAAAAAAAGAUCUAAAAAUAUAGCUAAUUAGUAAGUUAUUUAUAGCAUAUUAAGAUGAGUAGAAGAAAUGAUUAAUUUCUGUAAUAAUAUUUUGGUUGUGACUAUCAGAACAUCAAGUGGCUUAACUGAAACGGCAAAAGAAAAAUUCCACAAAUGAGAACAUUUUAGAACUAAAGGAAAUUAGUUGCAAGUAAAGGUUUGACUGUGUUCAGACA